AACUUUCAACAACGGAUCUCUUGGUUCUGGCAUCGAUGAAGAACGCAGCGAAAUGCGAUAAGUAAUGCGAAUUGCAGAAUUCCCGUGAGUCAUCGAAUCUUUGAACGCACAUUGCGCCCCUUUGGUAUUCCAAAGGGCAAUGCCUGUCCGAGCGUCAUUAU
Molecule: ribosomal RNA, 161 nt
Filed under: Fonsecaea compacta
Lineage: Eukaryota; Fungi; Ascomycota; Eurotiomycetes; Chaetothyriales; Herpotrichiellaceae
Description: 5.8S ribosomal RNA
Rfam family: 5.8S ribosomal RNA
About the family: 5.8S ribosomal RNA (5.8S rRNA) is a component of the large subunit of the eukaryotic ribosome. It is transcribed by RNA polymerase I as part of the 45S precursor that also contains 18S and 28S rRNA. Functionally, it is thought that 5.8S rRNA may be involved in ribosome translocation.
Source: RNAcentral